AACGAACGCUGGCGGCAUGCCUAACACAUGCAAGUCGAACGAGACCUUCGGGUCUAGUGGCGCACGGGUGCGUAACGCGUGGGAACCUGCCCUUAGGUUCGGAAUAACUCCCCGAAAGGGGUGCUAAUACCGGAUAAUGUCUUCGGACCAAAGAUUUAUCGCCUUUGGAUGGGCCCGCGUUGGAUUAGCUAGUUGGUAGGGUAAAAGCCUACCAAGGCGACGAUCCAUAGCUGGUCUGAGAGGAUGAUCAGCCACACUGGGACUGAGACACGGCCCAGACUCCUACGGGAGGCAGCAGUGGGGAAUAGUGGACAAUGGGCGAAAGCCAGAUCCAGCAAUGCCGCGUGAGUGAUGAAGGCCUUAGGGUUGUAAAGCUCUUUUACCCGGGAUGAUAAUGACAGUACCGGGAGAAUAAGCUCCGGCUAACUCCGUG
Molecule: ribosomal RNA, 433 nt
Filed under: uncultured bacterium
Lineage: Bacteria
Description: partial 16S ribosomal RNA
Rfam family: Bacterial small subunit ribosomal RNA
Source: RNAcentral